UUUUAACUAUAGAAUAAAUUCUAUCUAGUUUUGUAAAUUCUGAUAAAAUAUUCCACUUUUUCAUACAAAAAAAAAAAAAAAAUUCCACUCUGCCUAAUAUUUCGUCCCGCAUUAUGGUUCCAUAUAUACUUCCAUCAGUACCAAACUUAUCAUGUCCGUUUGAUAUACUUGAAAAAAUCAGUACAAUGGAAAGAAACGUAAAUCCUCCUAUCUUCCUGAUAUUUCAAUCAUUGGCUGCCUUGAAUUUAAUUAGCUGGUAUGUUUGUUACAUAGUUUAAUUAAGGGUUUUCCGAUUUUUAACCAAUUAGUAUUCCGAUGUUCGGCUUUAUAUAAAGUGAGUCUUUCUUUUUCUUGGACAGAACGUGAUUUUUU
Molecule: long non-coding RNA, 372 nt
Filed under: Arabidopsis lyrata
Lineage: Eukaryota; Viridiplantae; Streptophyta; Magnoliopsida; Brassicales; Brassicaceae
Description: long non-coding RNA (ALYR_LNC003059)
Source: RNAcentral